GGACUUCCCGUGUGGCUCACAACAUAACUACUCGGCGUUGCUUCUACAGGGUCAAAUCGGAGCUGUAGCCACCGGCCUACGCCAGAGCCACAGCAACACAGGAUCCGAGCUGCGUCUGCGACCUACACCACAGCUCAUGGCAACGCCGGAUCCUUAACCCACUGAGCAAGGGCAGGGACCGAACCCGCAACCUCAUGGUUCCUAGUCAGAUUCCACUGCUCCAGGACGGGAACU
RNAcentral lists this long non-coding RNA (234 nucleotides) under Sus scrofa (pig). RNAcentral describes it as "lncRNA (ENSSSCG00060053182.1)". Lineage: Eukaryota; Metazoa; Chordata; Mammalia; Artiodactyla; Suidae. The record is from RNAcentral.